Molecule: long non-coding RNA, 935 nt
Organism: Triticum aestivum (bread wheat)
Lineage: Eukaryota; Viridiplantae; Streptophyta; Magnoliopsida; Poales; Poaceae
Exons: 3
Source: RefSeq, a predicted model, not a curated record
UUUGCUGCACGCCAGCCGUGACGGCGCCUGCGUCUCUCUUGCGAUCAUCGAUCUAUUUCUUGUAACUACGUCACCGACGGCGGCCAUGCCUCUCCUGCUAGCCAUGCUGCAUCCAUGAAGACGACGUCGCCCCAGUUUCUGCCCAGCAGGUCUCGGUGUCGAGCGCUCUCCACCAGCCAUUCCACUCGUCAGAAUCGGCCGAAACUCAGCCAAGGAUGGAAGCCUAUUAUGACGUCCUCGUGUAACUAAAUAAAAGACGACGGCGGCGGCGGCGACGGUGGUGGCCACAACGGCGACGGCAAUGAGACGAGGUGUUGCUGGUUGUACCAUUGAACUCUAUAACGUGGCGAAAGAUGAAGCGGCUCCCUUGUAUCUUCUUCCAAUCGACAUCGAUCACGGCAAGCUCAUUUUGAUCGAUUGCUCGUGAGAUGGGUUACGCCAGCCGGCGGCGCUUCUGCUCCAUGCAUAUGGAUGUACUCACGUUUUCUCUGGCAGCGGCCAGACCUCCCUGAUUCAAUGGACUCCGACGACACGAUCUACAUGAUGACUAUCUAAAUUGACGCGACAUGAUUUACCCAUCAUAUGUAAUAAGCACGCAUAAAGCGUGAUAUGCUCACACAACUUUAGUCUUGUUAUUUGCGUGGACAAAUAUCAUUGUAAAGAAACCAUUUAUUCCCUGAUGGUGUAUUCUUCUUAAUUAAUUGUGCUAGUCUGUCUUGUAAUCUACUUUGAAUAAAUUAUACUUUGUUUUAUUAUACACUUAUUUUCUAAACGCACCAUACUCUUUUUAUCUUUAAUCCUCAUUGUUAACGAAUUAUAUGUCAUUUGUUGUCAGUAUAUACUCCAACACAAAAAGGUAACAUAUACUCCAUCACAAAAAAGUGCUAUUUACUCCACAAAAAGUAUAUACUCCACUGUUUCCCAACAAGUAUAUA